This 616-nucleotide ribosomal RNA is filed under the name Helicosporium sp. CT43. RNAcentral describes it as "eukaryotic LSU rRNA". It matches the Rfam family "Eukaryotic large subunit ribosomal RNA", at positions 21 to 656 of the family's 3401-position model. Lineage: Eukaryota; Fungi; Ascomycota; Dothideomycetes; Tubeufiales; Tubeufiaceae. The record is from RNAcentral.
AUACCCGCUGAACUUAAGCAUAUCAAUAAGCGGAGGAAAAGAAACCAACAGGGAUUGCCUCAGUAACGGCGAGUGAAGCGGCAAUAGCUCAAAUUUGAAAUCUGGCUCUCGGGUCCGAAUUGUAAUUUGUAGAGGAUGUUUCGGCUUACGCUCCGGUCUAAGUUCCUUGGAACAGGACGUCACAGAGGGUGAGAAUCCCGUUUGUGGCCGGCGCUUCCGCCAUGUGAAACUCCUUCGACGAGUCGAGUUGUUUGGGAAUGCAGCUCUAAAUGGGAGGUAAAUUUCUUCUAAAGCUAAAUACCGGCCAGAGACCGAUAGCGCACAAGUAGAGUGAUCGAAAGAUGAAAAGCACUUUGGAAAGAGAGUUAAAAAGUACGUGAAAUUGUUGAAAGGGAAGCGCUUGCGACCAGACUUGCCCGCGGAUGCUCAACCGGUCCUUCGGCCGGUGCACUCUUCCGCGGUCAGGCCAGCAUCAGUUCGGGCGGUCGGAUAAAGGCCUCGGGAAUGUGGCUCUCUUCGGGGAGUGUUAUAGCCCUUGGUGCAAUACGGCCCGCCUGGACUGAGGCCCGCGCUUCGGCUAGGAUGCUGGCGUAAUGGUCGUAAGCGGCCCGUCUUG